This 465-nucleotide ribosomal RNA is filed under the name Vreelandella stevensii. RNAcentral's name for it is "partial 16S ribosomal RNA". It matches the Rfam family "Bacterial small subunit ribosomal RNA", at positions 338 to 795 of the family's 1533-position model. The record is from RNAcentral. Lineage: Bacteria; Pseudomonadati; Pseudomonadota; Gammaproteobacteria; Oceanospirillales; Halomonadaceae.
CCUACGGGUGGCUGCAGUGGGGAAUAUUGGACAAUGGGGGGAACCCUGAUCCAGCCAUGCCGCGUGUGUGAAGAAGGCCCUCGGGUUGUAAAGCACUUUCAGUGAGGAAGAACGCCUGGUGGUUAAUACCCAUCAGGAAAGACAUCACUCACAGAAGAAGCACCGGCUAACUCCGUGCCAGCAGCCGCGGUAAUACGGAGGGUGCGAGCGUUAAUCGGAAUUACUGGGCGUAAAGCGCGCGUAGGUGGCUUGAUAAGCCGGUUGUGAAAGCCCCGGGCUCAACCUGGGAACGGCAUCCGGAACUGUCAAGCUAGAGUGCAGGAGAGGAAGGUAGAAUUCCCGGUGUAGCGGUGAAAUGCGUAGAGAUCGGGAGGAAUACCAGUGGCGAAGGCGGCCUUCUGGACUGACACUGACACUGAGGUGUGAAAGCGUGGGUAGCAAACAGGAUUAGAUACCCCAGUAGUC